This 497-nucleotide ribosomal RNA is filed under the name uncultured bacterium. RNAcentral's name for it is "partial 16S ribosomal RNA". It matches the Rfam family "Bacterial small subunit ribosomal RNA", at positions 28 to 507 of the family's 1533-position model. The record is from RNAcentral.
GACGAGCGCUGGCGGCGUGCCUAAUACAUGCAAGUUGAGCGCUGAAGGUUGGUCUUUGUCUUUCCUGGUUGAGCAGCGAACGGGUGAGUAACGCGUGGUGAAUCUCCCUUUGAGCGGGGGACAACAUUUGGAAACGAAUGCUAAUCCCGCAUAAAAACUUUAAACACAAGUUUUAAGUUUGAAAGAUGCAAUUGCAUCACUCAAAGAUGAUCCCGCGUUGUAUUAGCUAGUUGGUGAGGUAAAGGCUCACCAAGGCGAUGAUACAUAGCCGACCUGAGAGGGUGAUCGGCCACACUGGGACUGAGACACGGCCCAGACUCCUACGGGAGGCAGCAGUAGGGAAUCUUCGGCAAUGGACGAAAGUCUGACCGAGCAACGCCGCGUGAGUGAAGAAGGUUUUCGGAUCGUAAAGCUCUGUUGGUAGAGAAGAACGUGUGUGAGAGUGGAAAGCUCAUCAAGUGACGGUAACUAACCAGAAAGGGACGGCUAACUACGUG